This 33-nucleotide ribosomal RNA is filed under the name Cottonia peduncularis. Its description in RNAcentral is "partial 26S ribosomal RNA". The record is from RNAcentral. Lineage: Eukaryota; Viridiplantae; Streptophyta; Magnoliopsida; Asparagales; Orchidaceae.
GCGACCCCAGGACGGGCGAGACCACCCGCCGAG